Molecule: ribosomal RNA, 458 nt
Filed under: uncultured bacterium
Lineage: Bacteria
Description: partial 16S ribosomal RNA
Rfam family: Bacterial small subunit ribosomal RNA
Source: RNAcentral
AACGAACGCUGGCGGCAGGCCUAACACAUGCAAGUCGAGCGAGGACUUCGGUCCUAGCGGCGGACGGGGGAGUAACGCGUGGGAACGUGCCCUUUGCUUCGGAAUAGCCCUGGGAAACUGGGAGUAAUACCGGAUGAGCCCUUUGGGGGAAAGAUUUAUCGGCGAAGGAUCGGCCCGCGUUGGAUUAGGUAGUUGGUGGGGUAAUGGCCUACCAAGCCGACGAUCCAUAGCUGGUUUGAGAGGAUGAUCAGCCACACUGGGACUGAGAAACGGCCCAGACUCCGACGGGAGGAAGCAGGAGGGAAUCCGCCGCAAUGGGCGAAAGCGUGACGGAGCAACGCCGGGUGAGGGAUGAAGGUCUUCGGAUCGGAAAACUCUGGGAUUAGGGAAGAACAAAUGGGUAAGUAACUAUGCACGUCUGGACGGUACCUAAUCAGAAAGCCACGGCUAACUACGGG